RNAcentral lists this ribosomal RNA (494 nucleotides) under uncultured bacterium. Its description in RNAcentral is "partial 16S ribosomal RNA". It matches the Rfam family "Bacterial small subunit ribosomal RNA", at positions 28 to 507 of the family's 1533-position model. The record is from RNAcentral.
GACGAACGCUGGCGGCGUGCUUAACACAUGCAAGUCGAACGGAAAGGCCUGCUUUCCCUUGUGUCUUGCGGGUACUCGCUUGUCGAACGGGUGAGUAACACGUGAGUUAUCUGCCCCCAACUUGGUUAUAAGCCUGGGAAACUGGGUCUAAUUCCCGAUAGUACUGCAGGGUGGUUCCUGUUGUGGAAAACGAUUUUCUAGUGGUUGGGGAUGAGCUCGCGGCCUAUCAGCUUGUUGGUGGGGUAAUGGCCUACCAAGGCGGCGACGGGUAGCCGGCCUGAGAGGGUGGACGGCCACAUUGGGACUGAGAUAAGGACCAGAAUCCUAAGGGAGGCAGCAGUGGGGAAUAUUGCACAAUGGGCGGAAGCCUGAUGCAGCGACGCCGCGUGGGGGAUGACGGCCUUCGGGUUGUAAACUCCUUUCGACAGCGAGGAAGCCACCUGGUUGGAAGGGUGGUGACGGUAGUGGUAGAAGAAGCACCGGCUAACUACGUG